GAUGGUUCCCUGCAGUAAACCCUUUCAGGAGCACAAAAGGGUGGGGGGAUUUCUUUAACCGUCGCUUUCCAGAAUCACAGGGCUCGGGUUAAGUUCAGCGUUGUCACAAUGCAGGGAAAUCUCUCCGCGGACUCAAUCAGAGGCUGGGGAGGUAGAGAGGUAAAUAGACGCUGGGUUCUCCGUUGAGCCCACACCUCGCUCCCAGCAUUUUCGGGGCCGGGUAAGAAGGCAGCCAGCGGCGGGGCCGACGGCGGACAGGAGACUGCCGCCAUUAGCGCGCGUCAGCGGAGGCCUGAGGCGCCGGCGGCCGGCCCCACCCCCGCGCGCGCGCGCGCGCGCUCUUGGGGCUGCGCGGAGCCAGCUGGGCGCGCGCUCGGCGCCCGGCGGCGGAAGCCCAGGGAGGCGGGCCGGGUCCCAGCGGCGGGGCCCACGAGCCUCAGCGGGUCUGGGGGCGGCGGUGCUCCUAGUCUGAGGGGCUCCAGCCCGACAGCGGCGGUGGCGCCGGCGGCCCCUGAGCGAACGGAGGACCAGGCCGGAAGGCGGCAGCGCGGCUGCGCCCGGAGGGUGGACUGUUCAGUAAACUCAACUGUCAUGUGGAAUCACUCUAACUAAGAUAAGUUCCAAAUAGAUCUGAGAUUUAAAAUUUUUAAAUUAAAGUUGAGGGGGUGCCUGGGUGGCUUAGUUGGUUAAGCAUCUGCCUUAGGCUCAGGUCAUGAUUCCAGGGUGCUGGGAUUGAGCCCUACGCUGGGCUCCCUUCUCCUCCCCCCUACUUGUUCUCUUGCGCGCUCUCUCUCAAAAUCUUUAAAGAAACAAUAUUGACGGUCACAUCAGCAAAACGGCAAAAUAGGCAGUUGGAAGCUCAUGUUCCCACAGAAACAUUGAAAAACACGCAGAAGCUGUUAGAACCAACUUAGAACUCUGGAGAGUAGUUCAUGGUGUAUAGCAGCCAAGCAAAUGCUGAAUCAAGAAAAAUGCAACUUAAAAAGAGCAGGCAAAACACAUCAAAAAUGGGCAAAGCACCUGAACGGGUAUUUCUCCAAAGAAGAUAGACAAAUGGCCAAUAAGCACAUGAAAAAGAUGCUCGCCAUCACUAGUCACAAUGAGAUACACUUUAUUAGGAUGGUAUUAUUUAAUAAAACAAACUGACAAGUAUUGGCAAGGAUGUGGAGAAAUUAGAACCCUGGUACAUUGCUGGAGGGAAUACAAAAUUAUUCACAAUAGCCAGAGGUGUAAACAGUCCAAAUGUCCAUCACCAGAUGUGUAGGGGUGUCUGGGUGGCUCAGUCGGUUAAACGUCUGCAUGAUCCCGGAGUCCUGGGAUCUAGCCCCACAUCUGGUCCCCUGCUUAGAGGGAGUCUGCUUCUCCCUCUGCCUGCCCCUCCCGCCCGCUCAUGCAUGUGCGUGCAUGUGCUCUCUAAUAAAUAAAAUCUUGGGAAAAAACAGAUGAAUGUGUAAACAAAAUGUAUAUACAUACAAUGGAAUAUUAGCCAUAAAAGGAAAGAAUUUAUGUUAAGUGAAAUAAGCCAGACACAAAAGGACAAAUGUAUGAUUCUAUUUAUGUGAAAUACAAGGCAAAUUCAUAAGGGCAGAAGGUAGAAUAGGGGUUACUAGGCCUGGGAAGAGAGAGGAAGAGGGAGUUAUUGUUUAAUGGGUACAGAGUUUCUUUUUGGGAAGUUGAAAGAGUCUAGGAAAUGGAUAGUGGUAAUGAUUGUACAACAUUGCAGAUAUAAUUGAUGCCACUGAAUUGUAUACUGUACAUCUCGUCAGUUUGCUUCCCCAAGGAAUUGUAAGAAUGAGAAUGUUUCAUUCACUUUUGUUUGUUAAACCAAAGGGCACACUAUAAUUUUUAUCAUAAUUCUUAAGAAAUAGUUGUAAAAAAAUUUCUUUUGUUGGAAGAUUAUUAGAUUCCAAAAUUUAUUUUUUAUUGUUGUACUCUGUAGAUGAAAAUGACAGCUUUGAGUUUGGUCACAUAAGUUCUUAAGACCCUUUCAGUGCUACUUUAGGGACACCUAAUAGCUUAUGUCAAAGAUUAUUAAUGCAUAUAUAAGAAUGAACUUUUAAUACUUGAGGACUUUAGUUUUUGUUUAUUUUUACUUUUACAGUAAGACAAAAGAAUGAAAGAAGUAGAUAAUCUCGAAAGUAUAAAAGAAGAAUGGUAAGUUAAUUCAAGCUUUGCAUUUCUUUGUUACUGCAUUUCUUAGUAUCUAUUUUUACUGUAUUUCACUGACAGAUACAGUAAGUUUUCAUUAUGGGUCUUUC
Molecule: long non-coding RNA, 2258 nt
Organism: Zalophus californianus (California sea lion)
Lineage: Eukaryota; Metazoa; Chordata; Mammalia; Carnivora; Otariidae
Source: Ensembl